AACUUAAAGGAAUUGACGGGGGCCCGCACAAGCAGCGGAGCGUGUGGUUUAAUUCGAGGCUACACGAAGAACCUUACCUGGGUUUGACGUCACGGUGGUAGGGAACCGAAAGGGGACCGACCUUCGGGAGCCGUGACAGGUGCUGCAUGGCUGUCGUCAGCUCGUGUCGUGAGAUGUUCGGUUAAGUCCGCUAACGAGCGCAACCCUCGCUGUAUGUUACAUGUGUCAUACAGGACCGCCGGUAUCAAGCCGGAGGAAGGUGGGGAUGACGUCAAGUCCGCAUGGCCUUUAUGUCCGGGGCUACACACACGCUACAAUGGUCGGUACAAUGGGUUGCUAAGCCGCGAGGUGGAGCCAAUCCCCCAAAGCCGGCCUCAGUUCAGAUUGCAGGCUGCAACUCGCCUGCAUGAAGCUGGAGUUGCUAGUAAACGCGCGUCAGCUAUAGUGCGUUGAAUACGUUCUCGGGCCUU
Molecule: ribosomal RNA, 470 nt
Filed under: uncultured Anaerolineaceae bacterium
Lineage: Bacteria; Bacillati; Chloroflexota; Anaerolineae; Anaerolineales; Anaerolineaceae
Description: bacterial SSU rRNA
Rfam family: Bacterial small subunit ribosomal RNA
Source: RNAcentral